This 428-nucleotide ribosomal RNA is filed under the name uncultured bacterium. RNAcentral's name for it is "partial 16S ribosomal RNA". It matches the Rfam family "Bacterial small subunit ribosomal RNA", at positions 354 to 796 of the family's 1533-position model. The record is from RNAcentral.
GUAGGGAAUAUUGCGCAAUGGACGAAAGUCUGACGCAGCGACGCCGCGUGAGUGAUGAAGGCCUUAGGGUCGUAAAGCUCUGUUGAAUGGGAAGAAAAAAAUGACGGUACCAUUCGAGGAAGGACCGGCUAACUUCGUGCCAGCAGCCGCGGUAAUACGAGGGGUCCUAGCGUUGUUCGGAAUCAUUGGGCGUAAAGGGUGUGUAGGUGGCCAUGUAAGUCAGGUGUGAAAGCCCCGGGCUCAAACCGGGAAGUGCACUUGAUACUGCGUGGCUUGAGUACCGAAGAGGGUAGUGGAAUUCCAGGUGUAGUGGUGAAAUACGUAGAUAUCUGGAGGAACACCGGUGGCGAAGGCGGCUACCUGGUCGAGUACUGACACUGAGACACGAAAGCAUGGGGAUCAAACAGGAUUAGAUACCCUGGUAGUCC